RNAcentral lists this ribosomal RNA (568 nucleotides) under Micrococcus sp. m2-14. RNAcentral's name for it is "bacterial SSU rRNA". It matches the Rfam family "Bacterial small subunit ribosomal RNA", at positions 875 to 1441 of the family's 1533-position model. The record is from RNAcentral. Lineage: Bacteria; Bacillati; Actinomycetota; Actinomycetes; Micrococcales; Micrococcaceae. RNAcentral also lists the same sequence under 3 other names.
GGGGAGUACGGCCGCAAGGCUAAAACUCAAAGGAAUUGACGGGGGCCCGCACAAGCGGCGGAGCAUGCGGAUUAAUUCGAUGCAACGCGAAGAACCUUACCAAGGCUUGACAUGUUCUCGAUCGCCACAGAGAUGUGGUUUCCCCUUUGGGGCGGGUUCACAGGUGGUGCAUGGUUGUCGUCAGCUCGUGUCGUGAGAUGUUGGGUUAAGUCCCGCAACGAGCGCAACCCUCGUUCCAUGUUGCCAGCGGGUUAUGCCGGGGACUCAUGGGAGACUGCCGGGGUCAACUCGGAGGAAGGUGGGGACGACGUCAAAUCAUCAUGCCCCUUAUGUCUUGGGCUUCACGCAUGCUACAAUGGCCGGUACAAUGGGUUGCGAUACUGUGAGGUGGAGCUAAUCCCAAAAAGCCGGUCUCAGUUCGGAUUGGGGUCUGCAACUCGACCCCAUGAAGUCGGAGUCGCUAGUAAUCGCAGAUCAGCAACGCUGCGGUGAAUACGUUCCCGGGCCUUGUACACACCGCCCGUCAAGUCACGAAAGUCGGUAACACCCGAAGCCGGUGGCCCAACCC